Molecule: transfer RNA, 20 nt
Filed under: Aethopyga boltoni (apo sunbird)
Lineage: Eukaryota; Metazoa; Chordata; Aves; Passeriformes; Nectariniidae
Description: tRNA-Gly
Source: RNAcentral
UCAAACCCCAGAGAAGAGCA